CGGAGACAGAGCCAGCAGCCUCCAACCCCAGGGAGGCAGGAGCGCGCCCGCAACCCCGGCAGAAUUUACCAGCCACCCACUGUGUUGAGGACAAAACCAGAGGAUGUUAUGAAAGAUGGGGACCACCUGCUAAGUCCAAGGACAGACCAUAGUGAGAAGUUCAGCCCCACCCAUCCCAGGCUGCUUGGAAAGUGGAAGAUAUCGCACCAGGCCUCGUUGUCCCCCUUUUGAAGAUUCAAAGUGGAUUAGGUAAUGACUGUUAUUGGACCAACUUUUGUUGGUGAGAGAGAAAAGCUUUCAAGUUGCACAGAGUCCUUCUUCACAUCUGGGAAAGCUAUUAUUUUGCCAGAUGCAAUUGCCUAACAGAUUGAGGGCAACAGGGCAAUAAUGAACCCAGAAGAACUGGCUAACCUCUGACUAUCUGGAAAUGAAUCCGUGUUUUCUAGAGGAGCAGACUUACAUCAGUUACUAUUACACUUGGCAUCUAAAUAAAACAUGUCGUUCCCCGUCUCCUCCCAUCCCCAGGUAAUUGCCAAUAGUUUAAACCAGGUUUUUAUUCAACAGUUUUUAAGAGCUGCAAACAGACUUACUGGCAGGUUUUCAGCUCUCGUAUGGCAAUCGAAAGCAGCUGAUGCAUGUUCUAAAAUAUAGGUGGAGGCUGCCAGAGCUUAUGACUCAAUUAAUAAAACAAAUGUGCCUAUGAACUGCAUGCUGCCCUUUUGACCUUAAUCCAGUCUUGAAAUGUUACUGAAUUGACAUAGACCUAAUAUUUGCACAUGCACCAACCCCGGCCCUACCUCUUUAAGUUUUAGUGUGGUUGGCAGGAUGGAAAAUGUCAUCAGUCAAAAGGUUAGAAUUCCAUGUUCUGUUAUUGAUGUUAACUUUCAUUCAAUUCAUUGCUCCACUGCAGGGCAGAUUGCGCCUGGCCCCUGUUCAAGUUCCAAAGGGAGGUGGAAAGCAUGAGGAGUAGAGCCAUGCAAAUCCAUGGAUAUCCAUUUUCUCUCCACCUCUGUGGAUGUAGAUGUGGAUAUCUGUGAAUCAUUUUUGUGGAUACCAAUUUUGCAUCCCCACGGGGCUCUAGUAAGGAGUCUUCUCUCCUUGUGUAUCCCUGGUGUCUUUCCAAUCUCUAAAACAUAAGAACAGCCGUACUGGGUCAGACCAAAGUAUCCAGUAUCCUGUCUGCCGACAGUGGCCUCUGUCAGAUGCCCCAGAGAAACUGAACAGAACAGGUAAUCCUUGAGAGAUCCCUCUCAUGUCAGCCAUUCCCAGCCCCUGACAAACAGGCUAGGGACACCAUUCCUACCCAUUCUGGCUAAUAAGUAUCAAUGGACCUAACCUCUAUGAUUGCAUCUAGUUCUUUAAAUAUCUCCCAAAGGCAAGAUCAGCUCUCUCUUAGUGCAUAGGCCUGCCAAAGGGAACUGGGAGGGGCAGCAUCCUACACCAGCGAGCAGAGCUGGCUUGCUGGGCAGCAGAGACCAC
This is a non-coding RNA of Pelodiscus sinensis (Chinese soft-shelled turtle), 1479 nucleotides long. The record is from RefSeq and is a predicted model, not a curated record. Lineage: Eukaryota; Metazoa; Chordata; Testudines; Trionychidae.